UACGUAGGGUGCGAGCGUUGUCCGGAAUUACUGGGCGUAAAGAGCUCGUAGGUGGUUUGUCGCGUUGGUCGUGAAAACCGGGGGCUUAACCCUCGGCGUGCGGGCGAUACGGGCAGACUUGAGUACUGCAGGGGAGACUGGAAUUCCUGGUGUAGCGGUGGAAUGCGCAGAUAUCAGGAGGAACACCGGUGGCGAAGGCGGGUCUCUGGGCAGUAACUGACGCUGAGGAGCGAAAGCGUGGGGAGCGAACAGG
RNAcentral lists this ribosomal RNA (253 nucleotides) under uncultured bacterium. RNAcentral's name for it is "partial 16S ribosomal RNA". It matches the Rfam family "Bacterial small subunit ribosomal RNA", at positions 524 to 776 of the family's 1533-position model. The record is from RNAcentral.